This is a long non-coding RNA of Dermochelys coriacea (leatherback sea turtle), 660 nucleotides long. RefSeq lists it as uncharacterized. The transcript has 3 exons. Lineage: Eukaryota; Metazoa; Chordata; Testudines; Dermochelyidae. The record is from RefSeq and is a predicted model, not a curated record.
GACCCUGAGACCCAGGAACUGACAGAGAGUGAGAGAGAGAGAGAGAGAGAGACUGUGGUGAAACUGGAAGCAGGAUGUACAAGAAUUGUCACUGCACAAGGAAAAAUUCUAAAAAAGUACAACAGCGUCAAGAUCCGAGAAAGCAUGAUAAAAAGUGAAAUAAGAAGAACUUAUGAAAAAGUUUUCCAGAAGAUCUACUACCCCUAAGCUGGCUAAGGUAGAAAGACAGACAUGGAAGCCUGAAAAAAGCAUGUCAUUGGAAUAUUUCACCAAGAUCAGGAAGGAGCUGGAUGUUUCCUCAGCAAAUAACCGGAUAUGAAGGCUAAGGGCUGAGCUUCCUUCUGUUUAAAAUAAAAAGACCUAAGGGGGAAAAUAAAAAAGUGCCAUUCAACAAAGAAGCUAUAGUGUAAUCAAUGAAGGCAAGACUGGCACAAGUCCUAGAACAUUUGCAUUCAGAAAUAAACGCCGUGAUCGACCUUUGUCUGGUUUUAAACAGACUGGUGAAGGGAGGAAUAGACUUGAGAGGGAGGAAGAAUGAAUCCCCCACAAAAAAUUAAUAAUUGUACUGCAUCCUUAAUAACCUGCAAGUGAUCAUUUAAAAUUAAUCUGAACCUUGAUGGUCCAAUAUAUAUUGCAGGUUAAAAAUAAAUGAAUACAUAG